AAAGUCGUAACAAGGUUUCCGUAGGUGAACCUGCGGAAGGAUCAUUAUCGAAUAAAUCUGGCGUAGGGUUGUCGCUGGCUCUCUGGAGCAUGUGCACGCCUCCGUCACCUUUAUCUAUCCACCUGUGCACACACUGUAGUCCUGGAUACCUCUCGCCGAAAGGCGGAUGCAGAGCUUGCGUGCUUGCUGCUUGCUUGCUCUGAAUUUCCAGGUCUAUGCUUUUUUAUUACACACCCCAAACGAAUGUAACAGAAUGUCGUCAUUGGGCCUUUGUGCCUAUAAACUUAAUACAACUUUCAACAACGGAUCUCUUGGCUCUC
Molecule: unclassified non-coding RNA, 320 nt
Filed under: Basidiomycota sp.
Lineage: Eukaryota; Fungi; Basidiomycota
Description: partial contains small subunit ribosomal RNA, internal transcribed spacer 1, and 5.8S ribosomal RNA
Rfam family: Eukaryotic small subunit ribosomal RNA (bases 1-47)
Source: RNAcentral